Molecule: ribosomal RNA, 441 nt
Filed under: Triticum aestivum (bread wheat)
Lineage: Eukaryota; Viridiplantae; Streptophyta; Magnoliopsida; Poales; Poaceae
Description: partial small subunit ribosomal RNA
Source: RNAcentral
AUGCAGGGAUCAGUUCUCAAGAUGGGCCCUUGUGGCGGCGGCUUUGGCGACGUCUGGUAGAUGGACGUGCGCGGCGUCGACCGUAUUGUCAAGUUGGUCCUGUGGCACUGCGGCGCGGUUGAUGCCAUCUCAGUGGUAUACGAGCGGGAUGGCCAGGAGGAGCAGACUAGGCAGUGGGGAAAAGUUGAAGGAGCGCGGUCAGAGAUCUGUCUGGAGUCAGACGAGUAUCUCACAUGCGUAAAAGGUCGGUUAGGCAAUUAUGGUGGGUAUUUCCUUGUUGGAUCAGUCACUAUUGUCAGCAACCGGCGCACCUUCGGGCCAUAUGGUAUAGGCAAAGGUGCGCCAUUCAAGCUCCCGGCGGCCGGCGGCAGAAUCAUUGGAUUCCACGGCCGCUCCGAGGGGCUCCUCAACGCUCUUGGGACCUACGUCAAGAUGGGCUAA